GAUGAACGCUGGCGGCGUGCCUAAUACAUGCAAGUCGAGCGAACGGACGAGAAGCUUGCUUCUCUGAUGUUAGCGGCGGACGGGUGAGUAACACGUGGAUAACCUACCUAUAAGACUGGGAUAACUUCGGGAAACCGGAGCUAAUACCGGAUGAUAUUUUGAACCGCAUGGUUCAAAAGUGAAAGACGGUCUUGCUGUCACUUAUAGAUGGAUCCGCGCUGCAUUAGCUAGUUGGUAAGGUAACGGCUUACCAAGGCAACGAUGCAUAGCCGGCCUGAGAGGGUGAUCGGCCACACUGGAACUGAGACGCGGUCCAGACUCCUACGGGAGGCAGCAGUAGGGAAUCUUCCGCAAUGGGCGAAAGCCUGACGGAGCAACGCCGCGUGAGUGAUGAAGGUCUUCGGACCGUAAAACUCUGUUAUUAGGGAAGAACAUAUGUGUAAGUAACUGUGCACAUCUUGACGGUACCUAAUCAGAAAGCCACGGCUAACUACGUG
Molecule: ribosomal RNA, 497 nt
Filed under: uncultured bacterium
Lineage: Bacteria
Description: partial 16S ribosomal RNA
Rfam family: Bacterial small subunit ribosomal RNA
Source: RNAcentral